CCCCUCUCAGAUUCACACCUGGAGAGUUUCCAGUAUUCUACUGGUCUUGCCUAUGGAAGGGAGAGACAAGCAGAAGCAUACCCAUUCCAUUCCUAGCUUGGUCAAUGGCUAGUGAGUGGAAGGCAAUCUGCUACAAGU
Molecule: non-coding RNA, 138 nt
Organism: Ornithorhynchus anatinus (platypus)
Lineage: Eukaryota; Metazoa; Chordata; Mammalia; Monotremata; Ornithorhynchidae
Source: Rfam